RNAcentral lists this ribosomal RNA (615 nucleotides) under uncultured fungus. RNAcentral's name for it is "eukaryotic LSU rRNA". The stretch from base 207 to 361 matches the Rfam family "5.8S ribosomal RNA". Lineage: Eukaryota; Fungi. The record is from RNAcentral.
CAUUACCGAAUUGUUAACACGAGUUGUUGCUGGUCCUCAAACGGGGGCAUGUGCACGCUCCGUUUACACAUCCACCCACACCUGUGCACCCUCUGUAGUUCUAUGGCGUGGGGGACUCUGUCCUCCUGUUGUGGUCCUACAUUCUUUACACACACACUGUAACAAAGUUUUAUGGAAUGCAUGANGCGUUUAACGCAAUACAAUACAACUUUCAGCAACGGAUCUCUUGGCUCUCGCAUCGAUGAAGAACGCAGCGAAAUGCGAUAAGUAAUGUGAAUUGCAGAAUUCAGUGAAUCAUCGAAUCUUUGAACGCACCUUGCGCCCUUUGGCUAUUCCGAAGGGCAUGCCUGUUUGAGUAUCAUGAACAUCUCAACUCUCAUGGUUUGCCAUGAUGAGCUUGGACUUUGGGGGUCUUGCUGGUCUAUGGCCAGCUCCUCUCAAAUGGAUCAGCUUGCCAGCGUUUGGUGGCAUCGCAGGUGUGAUAACUAUCUACGCUUGUGGUUUUCCACUGGGUAACCCUUCAGCAAUGGAGGUUCGCUGGAGCUCAUAAAUGUCUCUCCUCAGUGAAGACAGCUUUUUGAACGUUUGAUCUCAAAUCAGGUAGGACUACCCGCU